Long non-coding RNA from Aegilops tauschii subsp. strangulata, 332 nucleotides. RefSeq lists it as uncharacterized. Lineage: Eukaryota; Viridiplantae; Streptophyta; Magnoliopsida; Poales; Poaceae. The record is from RefSeq and is a predicted model, not a curated record.
AACGCCACCUUGGGAUGCAGCGGAGUACAAUCAACUCAUUUCUUCAGGGCCAUUGCUGCCACUACUAGAGCACUACGCGGGCAUCGGUUCUUAUGACCAAACCACAAUCAGGGGGGCAGCAUGGCAAGUUUCGUCACAGGGCGCUAACGCUGACAAAUGUACGGGCAACCAACUUCAGCUAGCUAAUGUGGCAAAUCAAGGACCUUCAUGCAGCACGUGGCAUCAGGCAGCAACCAUGUACCUGCCAUCAACGUCGUACACAGGUGAGUGCAUGAAAGUGAAGUUGUGGACAGUGAGUUAGGAGAAAGGAACAUAUAUGACAGCUGCAGUUG